RNAcentral lists this ribosomal RNA (446 nucleotides) under uncultured bacterium. Its description in RNAcentral is "bacterial SSU rRNA". It matches the Rfam family "Bacterial small subunit ribosomal RNA", at positions 330 to 793 of the family's 1533-position model. The record is from RNAcentral.
UCCAGACUCCUACGGGAGGCAGCAGUGGGGGAUAUUGCACAAUGGGGGGAACCCUGAUGCAGCGACGCCGCGUGGGUGAAGGAGCGUUUCGGCGCGUAAAGCCCUAUCGGCAGGGAAGAAAAUGACGGUACCUGACUAAGAAGCCCCGGCUAACUACGUGCCAGCAGCCGCGGGAAUACGUAGGGGGCAAGCGUUAUCCGGAUUUACUGGGUGUAAAGGGAGCGUAGACGGCAGAGCAAGUCUGAAGUGAAAGCCCGCGGCCCAACUGCGGGACUGCUUUGGAAACUGCCCGGCUAGAGUGCUGGAGAGGUAAGCGGAAUUCCUAGUGUAGCGGUGAAAUGCGUAGAUAUUAGGAGGAACACCAGUGGCGAAGGCGGCUUACUGGACAGUAACUGACGUUGAGGCUCGAAAGCGUGGGGAGCAAACAGGAUUAGAUACCCCAGUAU